GAUGAGCGCUGGCGGCGUGCCUAAUACAUGCAAGUCGAGCGAACGGACGAGAAGCUUGCUUCUCUGAUGUUAGCGGCGGACGGGUGAGUAACACGUGGAUAACCUACCUAUAAGACUGGGAUAACUUCGGGAAACCGGAGCUAAUACCGGAUGAUAUUUUGAACCGCGUGGUUCAAAAGUGAAAGACGGUCUUGCUGUCACUUAUAGAUGGAUCCGCGCUGCAUUAGCUAGUUGGUAAGGUAACGGCUUACCAAGGCAACGAUGCAUAGCCGACCUGAGAGGGUGAUCGGCCACACUGGAACUGAGACACGGUCCAGACUCCUACGGGAGGCAGCAGUAGGGAAUCUUCCGCAAUGGGCGAAAGCCUGACGGAGCAACGCCGCGUGAGUGAUGAAGGUCUUCGGAUCGUAAAACUCUGUUAUUAGGGAAGAACAUAUGUGUAAGUAACUGUGCACAUCUUGACGGUACCUAAUCAGAAAGCCACGGCUAACUACGUG
Molecule: ribosomal RNA, 497 nt
Filed under: uncultured bacterium
Lineage: Bacteria
Description: partial 16S ribosomal RNA
Rfam family: Bacterial small subunit ribosomal RNA
Source: RNAcentral